Molecule: transfer RNA, 76 nt
Filed under: Gammaproteobacteria bacterium
Lineage: Bacteria; Pseudomonadati; Pseudomonadota; Gammaproteobacteria
Description: tRNA-Asp
Rfam family: tRNA
About the family: Transfer RNA (tRNA) molecules are approximately 80 nucleotides in length. Their secondary structure includes four short double-helical elements and three loops (D, anti-codon, and T loops).
Source: RNAcentral
GGCUCUGUGGUGUCAAUGGCUAGCAUGGCUGUCUGUCGAACAGCAGGACGGGGAUCGAAACCCCGUAGGGCCGCCA